RNAcentral lists this long non-coding RNA (200 nucleotides) under Elaeis guineensis (African oil palm). Its description in RNAcentral is "long non-coding RNA (EGUI_LNC005158)". Lineage: Eukaryota; Viridiplantae; Streptophyta; Magnoliopsida; Arecales; Arecaceae. The record is from RNAcentral.
GGCAAGUCGCGACAACGGACACCACUCCACUCUCUAUAACAAACUCCACGUGGUCCCGAACGCUCCACUGACACUACUACUCUCCGUAACAAACUCCGCGUGGUUCCGAACGGCCCACUACCAGGCAGUUACGAACGUCGCUGUUAAUUAAUUACGCUCUCCUAUCUAUAAAAGAGAUCCUUCAGAUACAUUCUCCUCUA